UACAGAGGUGGCAAGCGUUGUUCGGAAUUACUGGGCGUAAAGGGCGCGUAGGCGGCCUUCUAAGUCGGACGUGAAAUCCCCAGGCUUAACUUGGGAACUGCGUCUGAUACUGGAUGGCUUGAGUUUGGGAGAGGGAUGCGGAAUUCCAGGUGUAGCGGUGAAAUGCGUAGAUAUCUGGAGGAACACCGGUGGCGAAGGCGGCAUCCUGGACCAACACUGACACUGAUGAGCGAAAGCCAGGGGAGCAAACGGG
RNAcentral lists this ribosomal RNA (253 nucleotides) under uncultured bacterium. RNAcentral describes it as "partial 16S ribosomal RNA". It matches the Rfam family "Bacterial small subunit ribosomal RNA", at positions 524 to 776 of the family's 1533-position model. The record is from RNAcentral.